This 483-nucleotide ribosomal RNA is filed under the name uncultured bacterium. RNAcentral describes it as "bacterial SSU rRNA". It matches the Rfam family "Bacterial small subunit ribosomal RNA", at positions 28 to 507 of the family's 1533-position model. The record is from RNAcentral.
GAUGAACGUUGGCGGCGUGCCUAAUACAUGCAAGUCGAACGAAGACUGUAGUAGUACUGUCUUAGUGGCGAACGGGUGAGUAAUGUAUCGGAACGUACCAUUCAGUGGGGGAUAACGUAGCGAAAGUUACGCUAAUACCGCAUAUUCUGUGAGCAGGAAAGCAGGGGAUCGCAAGACCUUGCGCUGAUUGAGCGGCCGAUAUCAGAUUAGCUAGUUGGUGAGGUAAAGGCUCACCAAGGCGACGAUCUGUAGCGGGUCUGAGAGGAUGAUCCGCCACACUGGAACUGAGACACGGUCCAGACUCCUACGGGAGGCAGCAGUGGGGAAUUUUGGACAAUGGGGGCAACCCUGAUCCAGCCAUGCCGCGUGAGUGAAGAAGGCCUUCGGGUUGUAAAGCUCUUUCGGCCGGGAAAAAAUUCGCAUACAGUUAAUACCUGGUGUGGGAUGAUGGUACCGGAAUAAGAAGCACCGGCUAACUACGUG